Molecule: ribosomal RNA, 521 nt
Filed under: uncultured bacterium
Lineage: Bacteria
Description: partial 16S ribosomal RNA
Rfam family: Bacterial small subunit ribosomal RNA
Source: RNAcentral
ACUCAAAGGAAUUGACGGGGGCUCACACAAGCGGUGGAGCAUGUGGCUUAAUUCGAGGCUACGCGAAGAACCUUAUCCUGGGCUUGACAUGUCCGCAAGGGUGUAGACGUAGGUGCCGGAAACGGUAACCCACAGGUAUCCAAUCCUGAGCUACACACAGGUGCUGCAUGGCUGUCGUCAGCUCGUGUCGUGAGAUGUCGGGUUAAGUCCCAUAACGAGCGAAACCCCUGUCUCCAGUUGCCAGCACGUCAUGGUGGGGACUCUGGAGAGACUGCCGGUGUCAAACCGGAGGAAGGUGGGGAUGACGUCAAGUCCUCAUGGCCUUUAUGCCCAGGGCUGCACACGUGCUACAAUGGCACGCACAGAGGGACGCGACUGCGCGAGCAGGAGCCGAUCCCGGAAAACGUGCCCCAGUUCAGAUCGCAGGCUGCAACUCGCCUGCGUGAAGUUGGAAUCGCUAGUAAUCGCGGGUCAGCAACACCGCGGUGAAUGUGUUCCUGAGCCUUGCACACACCGCCCGU